RNAcentral lists this ribosomal RNA (727 nucleotides) under fungal endophyte. Its description in RNAcentral is "eukaryotic LSU rRNA". The stretch from base 170 to 323 matches the Rfam family "5.8S ribosomal RNA". The record is from RNAcentral. Lineage: Eukaryota; Fungi.
ACCGUCAACUUUUGUGUGGGAAGGGUCGGGUUUACUCCCAACCCCUGUGAACAUACCAAUUGUUGCCUCGGCGGAUCAGCCCGCUCCCGGUAAAACGGGACGGCCCGCCAGAGGACCCCUAAACUCUGUUUCUAUAUGUAACUUCUGAGUAAAACCAUAAAUAAAUCAAAACUUUCAACAACGGAUCUCUUGGUUCUGGCAUCGAUGAAGAACGCAGCAAAAUGCGAUAAGUAAUGUGAAUUGCAGAAUUCAGUGAAUCAUCGAAUCUUUGAACGCACAUUGCGCCCGCCAGUAUUCUGGCGGGCAUGCCUGUUCGAGCGUCAUUUCAACCCUCAAGCCCUCGGGUUUGGUGUUGGGGAUCGGCGAGCCCUUGCGGCAAGCCGGCCCCGAAAUCUAGUGGCGGUCUCGCUGCAGCUUCCAUUGCGUAGUAGUAAAACCCUCGCAACUGGUACGCGGCGCGGCCAAGCCGUUAAACCCCCAACUUCUGAAUGUUGACCUCGGAUCAGGUAGGAAUACCCGCUGAACUUAAGCAUAUCAAUAGGCGGAGGAAAUCAUUACGGAGUUUAAACUCCCAACCCUGUGAAAAUACCAAUUGUUGCUUGGCGGAUCGCCCGCUCCCGGUAAACGGGAGGCCGCCGAGGACCCUUAAAUCUUUUUCUAUAUGUACUUCGGAGUAAAAACAAAAAUUAAAUCAAAAUUUUCAACGGAUCUUGGGUUCGGGUUCCUG